Long non-coding RNA from Macrobrachium nipponense, 330 nucleotides. RefSeq lists it as uncharacterized. Lineage: Eukaryota; Metazoa; Arthropoda; Malacostraca; Decapoda; Palaemonidae. The transcript is spliced from 3 exons. The record is from RefSeq and is a predicted model, not a curated record.
CUGUUACCUAAGUUCGGCUGUUUACGAGAGCAUCGCUGUUCGCGCUUGUAACCAGACGUGCGGCCGCUCUCCUCUUAAGAAGUGUCAGAAUAACUUUACAAUGAGGAAUAUGAAAGACUUGGUAGCUUACACUUUUGCAACAUGUCUUUUGAUGACUCCAUUGGUUACUCCCUCCAGUGGUAUGUUUCAAGACAUCACAAACAGUGUCUUCAGGUCUUCUCCAGAAAGUAAUCCAGUGCAGUUGAACUAUGGUGUUGCAGUCACUGAUGUAGACAAUGAUGGACAGCUGGAAGUGGUGGUAGCUGGGUGAGUUCUGUUUGUGGUUGACUG